GGGGGUAUAGCUCAGUGGCAGGGUGCGUGCUUAGCAUGCAUGAGGCCCUGGGGUCAAUCCCCAGGACCGCCA
This 72-nucleotide transfer RNA is filed under the name Camelus ferus (Wild Bactrian camel). It matches the Rfam family "tRNA". Rfam says of the family: Transfer RNA (tRNA) molecules are approximately 80 nucleotides in length. Their secondary structure includes four short double-helical elements and three loops (D, anti-codon, and T loops). Lineage: Eukaryota; Metazoa; Chordata; Mammalia; Artiodactyla; Camelidae. The record is from Rfam by way of RNAcentral.